UUUAUGGAGAGUUUGAUCCUGGCUCAGGAUGAACGCUGGCGGCGUGCCUAAUACAUGCAAGUCGAGCGAACUGACGAGGAGCUUGCUCCUUUGACGUUAGCGGCGGACGGGUGAGUAACACGUGGGUAACCUACCUAUAAGACUGGAAUAACUCCGGGAAACCGGGGCUAAUGCCGGAUAACAUGUUGAACCGCAUGGUUCAACAGUGAAAGACGGUCUUGCUGUCACUUAUAGAUGGACCCGCGCCGUAUUAGCUAGUUGGUAAGGUAACGGCUUACCAAGGCAACGAUACGUAGCCGACCUGAGAGGGUGAUCGGCCACACUGGAACUGAGACACGGUCCAGACUCCUACGGGAGGCAGCAGUAGGGAAUCUUCCGCAAUGGGCGAAAGCCUGACGGAGCAACGCCGCGU
RNAcentral lists this ribosomal RNA (412 nucleotides) under Staphylococcus hyicus. RNAcentral describes it as "bacterial SSU rRNA". It matches the Rfam family "Bacterial small subunit ribosomal RNA", at positions 1 to 402 of the family's 1533-position model. The record is from RNAcentral. Lineage: Bacteria; Bacillati; Bacillota; Bacilli; Caryophanales; Staphylococcaceae.